This 928-nucleotide ribosomal RNA is filed under the name Arthrobacter agilis. Its description in RNAcentral is "bacterial SSU rRNA". It matches the Rfam family "Bacterial small subunit ribosomal RNA", at positions 562 to 1484 of the family's 1533-position model. The record is from RNAcentral. Lineage: Bacteria; Bacillati; Actinomycetota; Actinomycetes; Micrococcales; Micrococcaceae.
AAAGAGCUCGUAGGCGGUUUGUCGCGUCUGCCGUGAAAGUCCGGGGCUUAACUCCGGAUCUGCGGUGGGUACGGGCAGACUAGAGUGCAGUAGGGGAGACUGGAAUUCCUGGUGUAGCGGUGAAAUGCGCAGAUAUCAGGAGGAACACCGAUGGCGAAGGCAGGUCUCUGGGCUGUAACUGACGCUGAGGAGCGAAAGCAUGGGGAGCGAACAGGAUUAGAUACCCUGGUAGUCCAUGCCGUAAACGUUGGGCACUAGGUGUGGGGGACAUUCCACGUUUUCCGCGCCGUAGCUAACGCAUUAAGUGCCCCGCCUGGGGAGUACGGCCGCAAGGCUAAAACUCAAAGGAAUUGACGGGGGCCCGCACAAGCGGCGGAGCAUGCGGAUUAAUUCGAUGCAACGCGAAGAACCUUACCAAGGCUUGACAUGAACCGGAAUGGUGCAGAGAUGUAUCAGCCACUUGUGGCCGGUUUACAGGUGGUGCAUGGUUGUCGUCAGCUCGUGUCGUGAGAUGUUGGGUUAAGUCCCGCAACGAGCGCAACCCUCGUUCCAUGUUGCCAGCGGGUUAUGCCGGGGACUCAUGGGAGACUGCCGGGGUCAACUCGGAGGAAGGUGGGGACGACGUCAAAUCAUCAUGCCCCUUAUGUCUUGGGCUUCACGCAUGCUACAAUGGCCGGUACAAAGGGUUGCGAUACUGUGAGGUGGAGCUAAUCCCAAAAAGCCGGUCUCAGUUCGGAUUGAGGUCUGCAACUCGACCUCAUGAAGUUGGAGUCGCUAGUAAUCGCAGAUCAGCAACGCUGCGGUGAAUACGUUCCCGGGCCUUGUACACACCGCCCGUCAAGUCACGAAAGUUGGUAACACCCGAAGCCGGUGGCCUAACCCCUUGUGGGAGGGAGCUGUCGAAGGUGGGACUGGCGAUUGGGACUAA